UGAUUCACAUAACAAGCUUCUAGUGAAA
Molecule: small RNA, 28 nt
Filed under: Bombyx mori (domestic silkworm)
Lineage: Eukaryota; Metazoa; Arthropoda; Insecta; Lepidoptera; Bombycidae
Description: ovarian small RNA-33045
Source: RNAcentral